Molecule: ribosomal RNA, 735 nt
Filed under: uncultured endophytic bacterium
Lineage: Bacteria
Description: bacterial SSU rRNA
Rfam family: Bacterial small subunit ribosomal RNA
Source: RNAcentral
AACCGGAUUAGAUACCCUGGUAGUCCACGCCCUAAACGAUGCAUAUUUGGUGUGGGCCAUUCAUUUGGUCUGUGCCGGAGCUAACGCGUUAAAUAUGCCGCCUGGGGAGUACAGUCGCAAGGCUGAAACUCAAAGGAAUUGACGGGGGCCCGCACAAGCGGUGGAGCAUGUGGUUCAAUUCGACGCAACGCGAAGAACCUUACCUAGGCUCGAAAUGCUUUGGACCAUCCCUGGAAACAGGGACUUUUCGCAAGAAACUGAAGUAUAGGUGCUGCAUGGCUGUCGUCAGCUCGUGUCGUGAGAUGUUGGGUUAAGUCCCGCAACGAGCGCAACCCUUGUCCUGUGUUGCCAUUCCGCAAGGAGGAACUCGCAGGAGACCGCCAGGGAUAACCUGGAGGAAGGUGGGGAUGACGUCAAGUCCUCAUGGCCUUUAUGUCUAGGGCUACACACGUGCUACAAUGGACGGUACAGAGGGUCGCCAACCCGUGAGGGGGAGCCAAUCCCAAAAAACCGAUCUCAGUUCGGAUUGCAGGCUGCAACUCGCCUGCAUGAAGCCGGAAUCGCUAGUAAUGCCGGAUCAGAACGCUGGCGUGAAUACGUUCCCGGGCCUUGUACACACCGCCCGUCACAUCACGAAAGUGGAUUGUACUAGAAGUCUGCAGGCUAACCCGCAAGGGAGGCAGCGGCCCAAGGUGUGAUUCAUGAUUGGGGUGAAGUCGUAACAAGGUAACCGUA